UGCAGUCGAGGGGUAACAGGGUUUGCUUGCAAACCGCUGACGACCGGCGCACGGGUGCGUAACGCGUAUAGAACCUACCCUUUACAGGGAGAUAGCCCGGAGAAAUCCGGAUUAAUAUCCCAUAGUACUAUUAUUUGGCAUCAUAUGAUAGUUAAAGUUUUAACGGUAAAGGAUGGCUAUGCGUCUUAUUAGCUAGUAGGUAAGGUAACGGCUUACCUAGGCUACGAUAAGUAGGGGCCCUGAGAGGGGGAUCCCCCACACUGGUACUGAGACACGGACCAGACUCCUACGGGAGGCAGCAGUGAGGAAUAUUGGACAAUGGGCGCAAGCCUGAUCCAGCCAUGCCGCGUGCAGGAAGACGGCCCUACGGGUUGUAAACUGCUUUUAUACAGGAAGAAUAAGGGGUACGUGUACCCUGGUGACGGUACUGUAAGAAUAAGGACCGGCUAACUCCGUGCCAGCAGCCGCGGUAAUACGGAGGGUCCGAGCGUUAUCCGGAAUCAUUGGGUUUAAAGGGUCCGCAGGCGGGCGAUUAAGUCAGGGGUGAAAUGCUGCAGCUCAACUGUAGCACUGCCCUUGAUACUAGUUGUCUUGAGUCAUAGUGGAGUGGCUGGAAUAUGUAGUGUAGCGGUGAAAUGCAUAGAUAUUACAUAGAACACCAAUCGCGAAGGCAGGUCACUAACUAUCGACUGACGCUGAUGGACGAAAGCGUGGGGAGCGAACGGGAUUAGAUACCCCGGUAGUCCACGCCGUAAACGAUGGACACUAGCUGUCGGACCGUGCAGUCGAGUGCAGUCGAGUGCAGUCGAG
RNAcentral lists this ribosomal RNA (810 nucleotides) under uncultured Flavobacteriaceae bacterium. Its description in RNAcentral is "bacterial SSU rRNA". It matches the Rfam family "Bacterial small subunit ribosomal RNA", at positions 56 to 861 of the family's 1533-position model. The record is from RNAcentral. Lineage: Bacteria; Pseudomonadati; Bacteroidota; Flavobacteriia; Flavobacteriales; Flavobacteriaceae.